Molecule: ribosomal RNA, 326 nt
Filed under: uncultured bacterium
Lineage: Bacteria
Description: bacterial SSU rRNA
Rfam family: Bacterial small subunit ribosomal RNA
Source: RNAcentral
AAUCAACGCUGGCGGCGUGCCUCAGACAUGCAAGUCGAACGAUUAAAGCUCUCUUCGGAGAGUGUAUAGAGUGGCGCACGGGUGAGUAACACGUAAGUAAUCUACCUUUGAGUGGGAAUAACGUCCGGAACGGACGCUAAUACCGCAUAAUGCAGCGGCAUCGCAAGAUGACAGUUGUUAAAGAUUUAUCGCUUGAAGAGGAGCUUGCGGCAGAUUAGCUAGUUGGUAAGGUAAUGGCUUACCAAGGCUACGAUCUGUAACCGGUCUAAGAGGACGGUCGGUCACACUGACACUGAAUAACGGGUCAGACUCCUACGGGAGGCAGC